GCCAAUGUCAUUAAGCAUAUACUAAAAUUGGAACAAUACAGAGAACGUUAGCAUGGCCCCUGCACAAGGAUGACAUGCAAAGUCUUGAAGAAUUCUAAGCAAUC
Small nuclear RNA from Cynocephalus volans (Philippine flying lemur), 104 nucleotides. NCBI's taxonomy places the organism in Eukaryota, Metazoa, Chordata, Mammalia, Dermoptera, Cynocephalidae. The record is from RefSeq and is a predicted model, not a curated record.